GCAUCUAUACUUUCAGUGAUCAUUUCUAUAGCUCUAACUAGGAAAUGUGAUUAGAGUGUGUUAUGUUUCUCUAAUCAUGACAAUGAGUUAAGAUGUACUUUUCUAAGCGUGAAUCAGAUUAGAGUUUUGUGUUUUAUGUAGAAGCUAUAAUUGUUGAUGAUUGUUAACUGAAAGCUAUCAGAGGAAAAGUACAUUAACUGAGUGUU
This is a small nucleolar RNA of Clarias gariepinus (North African catfish), 206 nucleotides long. RefSeq annotates it as small nucleolar RNA U3. The record is from RefSeq and is a predicted model, not a curated record. NCBI's taxonomy places the organism in Eukaryota, Metazoa, Chordata, Actinopteri, Siluriformes, Clariidae. The transcript has a single exon.